CGGAGGGUGCGAGCGUUGUUCGGAAUUACUGGGCGUAAAGCGCGGGCAGGUGGUCCUUUAAGUCCUUUGUGAAAUCCCGGGGCUCAACUCCGGAUGUGCAUAGGAUACUGGAGGACUGGAGACUGGUAGAGGCGAGCGGAAUUCCUGGUGUAGCGGUGGAAUGCGUAGAUAUCAGGAAGAACACCGGUGGCGAAGGCGGCUCGCUGGGCCAGUUCUGACACUCAUCCGCGAAAGCGUGGGGAGCAAACAGGAUUAGAUACCCUGGUAGUCCACGCUGUAAACGAUGGGCACUAGAUGCCGGGCCUAUAGACGGGUUCGGUGUCGCAGCUAACGCAUUAAGUGCCCCGCCUGGGGAGUACGGCCGCAAGGCUG
RNAcentral lists this ribosomal RNA (372 nucleotides) under uncultured organism. RNAcentral's name for it is "bacterial SSU rRNA". It matches the Rfam family "Bacterial small subunit ribosomal RNA", at positions 526 to 896 of the family's 1533-position model. The record is from RNAcentral.